CUGCUAUCGGAUUGAUACUAAGCCAUGCGAGUCUUUGUAGUAAUACAAGGCAGACGGCUCAGUAACACGUAGUCAACCUACCCUAUGGACGAGAAUAAUCUCGGGAAACUGAGCAUAAUUCUUGAUAGAUCAUAAUGCCUGGAAUGGUUUAUGGUUAAAAUGAUUCGUCGCCAUAGGAUGGGACUGCGGCCUAUCAGCUUGUUGGUGAGGUAAUGGCCAACCAAGGCGAUUACAGGUACGGGCUCUGAGAGGAGAAGCCCGGAGAUGGGUACUGAGACACGGACCCAGGCCCUAUGGGGCGCAGCAGGCGAGAAAACUUUGCAAUGUGCGAAAGCACGACAAGGUUAAUCCGAGUGAUUUCUGCUAAAGAAAUCUUUUGCCAGUCAUAAAACCACUGGUGAAUAAGGGGUGGGCAAGUUCUGGUGUCAGCCGCCGCGGUAAAACCAGCACCUCAAGUGGUCAGGAUGAUUAUUGGGCCUAAAGCAUCCGUAGCCGGCUUUGUUAGUUUUCGGUUAAAUCCAUGUGCUCAACGCAUGGGCUGCCGAAAAUACUGCAUGGCUAGGGAGUGGGAGAGGUAGACGGUACUCAGUAGGAAGGGGUAAAAUCCUUUGAUCUAUUGAUGACCACCAGUGGCGAAGGCGGUCUACCAGAACACGUUCGACGGUGAGGGAUGAAAGCUGGGGGAGCAAACCGGAUUAGAUACCCGGGUAGUCCCAGCUGUAAACGAUGCAGACUCGAUGAUGCAUUGGCAUAAUAGCCAGUGCAGUGUCGCAGGGAAGCCGUUAAGUCUGCCGCCUGGGAAGUACGUACGCAAGUAUGAAACUUAAAGGAAUUGGCGGGGGAGCACCACAAGGGGUGAAGCCUGCGGUUCA
This 872-nucleotide ribosomal RNA is filed under the name uncultured marine group I thaumarchaeote. Its description in RNAcentral is "SSU rRNA". It matches the Rfam family "Archaeal small subunit ribosomal RNA", at positions 27 to 904 of the family's 1478-position model. Lineage: Archaea; Thermoproteati; Nitrososphaerota. The record is from RNAcentral.